Molecule: unclassified non-coding RNA, 1011 nt
Filed under: Schistocerca americana (American grasshopper)
Lineage: Eukaryota; Metazoa; Arthropoda; Insecta; Orthoptera; Acrididae
Description: eukaryotic translation initiation factor 4H, transcript variant X1
Source: RNAcentral
UGCAACUGAAUCCAAUGGCUUUACUAUUUGCGACUUUUGUGUGGCAAUCGAAUUCCGAAAUUUUGAAGUUCAUUGACUAAACCAAAGAAGAAACGUUAUCAACAAACAAAGUUUAGUAAGGAUAUUAUACUUUUAUGAAGUUCUCUCGGAACUUUAUGUAGUCAAAAUUAUCAGUAUCUCCUAACAUAUUCAAUAGUACUCUCGGCGCAUUCAACAUGGCUGGGCGAAGUGAUGAUCAGAGAGAUUAUGGGCGAAGAAAACCUCUACCGACGGAACCACCUUAUAAGGCAUAUGUUGGUAAUUUGCCUCAAGGAACCGUUCAAGGAGAUGUCAACCACAUAUUUGGUGAAUUAGACGUAAAAUCAGUACAGUUAAUUAAGGACAGAGAUACUGAUGAAUUCAAAGGAUUUGGCUAUGUCGAGUUUGGGGAUCUCGAAAGCUUGAGACGUGCUUUAGAUCUAGACGGCAGAGUACGUGUAAACGAUUGUAUGCUCAGGAUUGAUGUAGCGGAAGCUAAAAGGAGUGAACGAGGUGGAGGAUUUGACAGAGGAAGAGGAGGCGGUGGUGGCGGCGGUCGAGGUGGCUUUCGAGGAGGGAGGCCAAGUGAUCGUGACAGAUUCAAUGACUUUGGAGGUGGUGGCGGCGGUGGCGGAGGCAGAGACUGGAACAGGGGUCCACCUGGUGGCAGAAGUGGACCACCACCACCCCCUCCAAGUGGAAGUUUCGGUGGUAGACCACGGCAAGAGGAGAGAAGAGGACCACCACCUGUGGAAGAGAUAAGACCCAAUCCAGAAGACGCUGCUCGUCGACCAAAGUUAAUGCUGAAGCCAAGAACUGUAAAAGAUCCGCCCAAUCAAUUAGCAGAGACUAGUCAGGCAUCAAAAAUAUUUGGUGGUGCGAAACCACGAGAAGAAAAAAUUCUUAAGUAAUAAAAGUUAAUGUAAAUUAAGUCAAAUGCAUCUCUAAAUGUAAAUGGCUGAGCUGUAUGCAGCAGGUUAAAACUGUGUGCUG